RNAcentral lists this ribosomal RNA (425 nucleotides) under uncultured bacterium. RNAcentral describes it as "bacterial SSU rRNA". It matches the Rfam family "Bacterial small subunit ribosomal RNA", at positions 354 to 796 of the family's 1533-position model. The record is from RNAcentral.
GUUAGGAAUAUUGGACAAUGGGCGCAAGCCUGAUCCAGCCAUGCCGCGUGAGUGAUGAAGGCCUUCGGGUUGUAAAGCUCUUUAGCCGAUGAUUAUAAUGACUGUAGUCGGAAAAUAAGCCCCGGCUAACUUCGUGCCAGCAGCCGCGGUAAUACGAAGGGGGCGAGCGUUAUUCGGAAUCACUGGGCGUAAAGCGUGCGUAGGCGGCUUUGCAAGUUGGGAGUGAAAGCCCAGGGCUCAACCCUGGAAUUGCUCUCAAAACUGCAAGGCUCGAAUUCGGGAGAGGAUAGCGGAAUUGUCAGUGUAGCAGUGAAAUGCGUAGAUAUUGACAGGAACACCAGUGGCGUAAGCGGCUAUCUGGACCGAUAUUGACGCUGAGGCACGAAAGCGUGGGGAUCAAACAGGAUUAGAUACCCGUGUAGUCC